UGCCCCGGGGGAUAAAGGCGGCGGGAAUGUGGCUCCCUUCGGGGAGUGUUAUAGCCCGUCGUGUAAUGCCCUGGGGCGGACUGAGGAACGCGCUUCGGCACGGAUGCUGGCGUAAUGGUCAUCAAUGACCCGUCUUGAAACACGGACCAAGGAGUCGUCUUCGUAUGCGAGUGUUCGGGUGUCAAACCCCUACGCGUAAUGAAAGUGAACGUAGGUGAGAGCUUCGGCGCAUCACCGACCGAUCCUGAUGUUCUCGGAUGGAUUUGAGUAAGAGCAUACGGGGCCGGACCCGAAAGAAGGUGAACUAUGCCUGUAUAGGGUGAAGCCAGAGGAAACUCUGGUGGAGGCUCGCAGCGGUUCUGACGUGCAAAUCGAUCGUCAAAUAUGGGCAUGGGGGCGAAAGACUAAUCGAACCUUCUAGUAGCUGGUUUCCGCCGAAGUUUCCCUCAGGAUAGCAGUGUUGAACUCAGUUUUAUGAGGUAAAGCGAAUGAUUAGGGACCAGGGGGCGCUAUUUAGCCUUCAUCCAUUCUCAAACUUUAAAUAUGUAAGAAGCUCUUGUUACUUAAUUGAACGUGGGCAUUCGAAUGUAUCAACACUAGUGGGCCAUUUUUGGUAAGCAGAACUGGCGAUGCGGGAUGAACCGAACGCGAGGUUAAGGUGCCAGAGUAGACGCUCAUCAGACACCACAAAAGGUGUUAGUUCAUCUAG
RNAcentral lists this ribosomal RNA (709 nucleotides) under uncultured Ascomycota. RNAcentral describes it as "LSU rRNA". It matches the Rfam family "Eukaryotic large subunit ribosomal RNA", at positions 520 to 1236 of the family's 3401-position model. The record is from RNAcentral. Lineage: Eukaryota; Fungi; Ascomycota.